UCCAGACUCCUACGGGAGGCAGCAGUGGGGGAUAUUGCACAAUGGGGGGAACCCUGAUGCAGCGACGCCGCGUGGGUGAAGAAGUAUUUCGGUAUGUAAAGCCCUAUCGGCAGGGAAGAAAUUGGACGGUACCUGACUAAGAAGCCCCGGCUAACUACGUGCCAGCAGCCGCGGUAAUACGUAGGGGGCAAGCGUUAUCCGGAUUCACUGGGUGUAAAGGGAGCGUAGACGGCCAUGCAAGCCUGGAGUGAAAGCCCGGGGCCCAACCCCGGGACUGCUCUGGGAACUGUGCGGCUGGAGUGCGGGAGGGGCAGGCGGAAUUCCUGGUGUAGCGGUGAAAUGCGUAGAUAUCGGGAGGAACACCAGUGGCGAAGGCGGCCUACUGGGCACUAACUGACGCUGAGGCUCGAAAGCAUGGGUAGCAAACAGGAUUAGAUACCCGUGUAA
Molecule: ribosomal RNA, 447 nt
Filed under: uncultured bacterium
Lineage: Bacteria
Description: bacterial SSU rRNA
Rfam family: Bacterial small subunit ribosomal RNA
Source: RNAcentral